AUUGAACGCUGGCGGCAGGCCUAACACAUGCAAGUCGAACGAGUGGCGGACGUGUGCGUAAUGUCUGGCAAACUGCCUGUUGGCGGGGGAUAACUACUGGAAACGGUUGCUACUACCGCAUACCAUCAGAUGUGCCCCGAUGGGAUUAGCUAGUUGGUGGGGUAACGGCUCACCAAGGCGACGAUCCCUCGCUGGUCUGAGAGGAUGACCAGGAAGACUGGAACUGGAACAGGUACCAGAAUCCUAGGGAGGGCAAGAGGGGGGAAGAUUGCACAAUGGGCGAAAGCCGGAUGCAGCCAGGCGGCGUGUAUGAAGAAGGCCUUGGGGUUGUAAAGUACGUUCAGCGGGGAGGCGUUACCCGCAGAAGAAGCACCGGCUAACUCCGUGCCAGCAGCCGCGGUAAUAC
RNAcentral lists this ribosomal RNA (406 nucleotides) under uncultured bacterium. Its description in RNAcentral is "partial 16S ribosomal RNA". It matches the Rfam family "Bacterial small subunit ribosomal RNA", at positions 29 to 526 of the family's 1533-position model. The record is from RNAcentral.